RNAcentral lists this ribosomal RNA (1767 nucleotides) under Triticum aestivum (bread wheat). RNAcentral's name for it is "partial small subunit ribosomal RNA". The record is from RNAcentral. Lineage: Eukaryota; Viridiplantae; Streptophyta; Magnoliopsida; Poales; Poaceae.
GCAUAACGUAAGCGAAACAGUUUUAGUAUGCACAUAUCACAAAAGAAAUGCCAACUCUCCUAGCCAUUAGUACUAGACGAGGGAGAGGCGGCCGAGAGAAUGAAGCCCGUCGGCGUCACCACUCGCUAGGGGAAGUAGGACAUUGGGGAUCAAGGGCGGGGCUUUCGCAGAGUUGUGAUAGGCGCUUGGGCUAGAUGGUGAGAUGUAUUGAUUUGUUGUUCAUAUUAGAGCUUGGCUCGGCUCAUUAGUCAUUGAGUUCGAGUCGAUUCGAGCGGUCACAAGCUACUUGUUUAGCUCGCGAGUUUUGAGUUUUGAUUCCAGCCCUAAUAGUUUCGUCGGCAAAACUGCUAGCCGGGUACUUCAGGAGCGUGGGUUCCAUACUACCAUAUGUACGGUAACGGCGGUGUUUGUUUCAGCUUUAGGACCAGAUUCAGCUUUGAAAAAGCUAAAUUUGAUAAAUACUUUCUCCGUUCGGAAAUAGUUGUCAUCAAAAUCUCCUCUAAUCUCUCCUAUAUAUAAUAAUAAUCUUUAUCUUUACCUCUUUAUCUUUAUUUUUAUCUUUAUCUUUAUCUUUAUCUUUACCUACUAAUAAAGCAGCGAUUGCUUCUGGUCGUACGUCGUCAGCGUUUUUGCAAAACAGUCCCUCUGUUUCUUUGAAAUAAACCCGCAGUCCCUGUUUAAGUGGCACUCUGGAAAACGUUUCAUUUUUACCUAAACACCCUUGCAUUUGUUAAAAAUUAUGCCCAUGACCCUAUCUCUUAUUGGACUGGCUCACCACCGCGCAUCUCGCCGCUUAUCAUGCCGUUCUCCACCGCCGGGCACGCGCCGCCGGCGCCGCGGCGGGCGUCCGCGCCGAGGCGGGGCACCGGCCGGAGCACGGCGUGCACUCGAUGGACACCGGAGCGAAGCUUGUUUGAGGCGCGAGAGGCAGGAGGCUGGAUCUCGGCGCGGCCCCCCUUAACACACAGCCCAGCCGCCGCCCCGCUGCCACGAACAUCCCAGCCGCGGAGAGGUGUGAGAUCAGGGGCGGGGAGGUUGGAGCGAGCUUACGGCUUCGUCCUCGGUCGUGGAUGCGUAGAUGAACAGGAGGCAAGCGUUCGUCUCCUUCGGUCUCGAUGCGCAUGAGCAGCUGGGCUGGGCCCUCGGCGCAACGUGCAGGCGAGCAGGCGUGCAGUGGCUAGGUGUGAUGCGUGCCACGCGCGAACCAGUGCGGUUAACGCGACGAGCAGAGUGUCCAGGCGAGCGGGGGGCUUGCGGGUCAACGCAUCCUGGCGAGCGGUCGUCGCUGCGCUCGAGCGCUGCUCCCUCGCGUUGGAAGAAGAAAGUGCAGCGGCAACUCUCCAGGGACUUGCGGCGGGGCGACAUGGAUCCGACAGGGACGGCCUGGAUCUGGACAGGGUUGAGGAGGGCGCGGCUCCUAGGGUUGGACUGUUGGACUUGAGCUCGAUGCAACAUCCAUGGCAGCUCGUGGUCCUGUAGCAACGAGAAGAGAGAGGGGGUUAAGAGAGAGAGAAGAAAGAGGAAGGAGGAGGAAAAAGGAGAAGGGAGCAGAGGCAGGGGGCGGCGCGGCUUGCUACUGGUGCUCGCCGACGCAGGCGGCACGGGGAGGCUCGGGCGCUCGUGCAGCUCCAUGGGAGGAGCUCAUGGACGGCCGGAUGGAUGGAUAAGAGGAAGGAUAGCAGCGCCGCUGGGAGGAAUGGCAACGUGGAUAACGUCCACACAAUGGGUAGCUCUCGGUGGGGAUUCUUGGUGUGGAUUGCUUUUUUU